This 301-nucleotide ribosomal RNA is filed under the name uncultured bacterium. Its description in RNAcentral is "partial 16S ribosomal RNA". It matches the Rfam family "Bacterial small subunit ribosomal RNA", at positions 509 to 807 of the family's 1533-position model. The record is from RNAcentral.
CAGUCGCCGCGGGAAUACGUAGGGUGCAAGCGUUAAUCGGAAUUACUGGGCGUAAAGCGUGCGCAGGCGGUUUGUUAAGACAGAUGUGAAAUCCCCGGGCUCAACCUGGGAACUGCAUUUGUGACUGGCGAGCUAGAGUAUGGCAGAGGGGGGUAGAAUUCCACGUGUAGCAGUAAAAUGCGUAGAUAUGCGGAGGAACACCGAUGGCGAAGGCAGCCCCCUGGGCCAACACUGACGCUCAUGCACGAAAGCGUGGGGAGCAAACAGGAUUAGAUACUCCCGUAGUCCCUGUCUCUUAUAC